UAAAAGGCCCUUUUCAGGGCCAACACUCACCCAACAUCGACACUUGU
Molecule: non-coding RNA, 47 nt
Organism: Acyrthosiphon pisum (pea aphid)
Lineage: Eukaryota; Metazoa; Arthropoda; Insecta; Hemiptera; Aphididae
Source: Rfam